AAUACAUCAAGUUGUUAUAAAUAACUGUUUCUAAGGCAAUAUUUAUUGAAUUUCAACUGUCAUAUUUGGUUCAAAAUUUUCAGUGUAAAAAAUCUAUCUAAAAUCAUAAAAAUGGGUUGUUUAUCGUCUCCCAAUUGUAAGCAACCAUUUUAUUUACCUUGCCCUCCUCCAUGUCCUAGUAUUUACGUACCUUUAUUAUAUCCAAUACCUCCAGCGUGUCCUCCUCCUGAUCCGAACUGCUGUCGUGCUUGCGGACCAGCGUGUCCUCCUAACAGAUCGUGUUGACCAAAAAGGAGUAAUCGAGGUUAAUAGUGGAAAUGUAUGAUACUGUUUUUAAGUAAAAAAGUUGUACGUAUUAUAAUAAAAAUUUUAAAUUAAA
Diorhabda carinulata is the source of this 379-nucleotide long non-coding RNA. RefSeq lists it as uncharacterized. Lineage: Eukaryota; Metazoa; Arthropoda; Insecta; Coleoptera; Chrysomelidae. The transcript is spliced from 2 exons. The record is from RefSeq and is a predicted model, not a curated record.